RNAcentral lists this long non-coding RNA (1881 nucleotides) under Struthio camelus australis. RNAcentral describes it as "lncRNA (ENSSCUG00000001247.1)". Lineage: Eukaryota; Metazoa; Chordata; Aves; Struthioniformes; Struthionidae. The record is from RNAcentral.
CCCAAGAGUAGAAAUAUUCCCUUGGAGGCUAAACUCUGGUAUAACUUCAGAAGUUGAGCUGUAUUUUAAGAGGUAAGUUAGUAAGUUUGGAUGGUGCUUCUAAACAUGGAGCUGUCUGGGAACAGUGGGAGGUGGAAAAUCAUCCCACUGGGACACGAGAGAUCUGGCUUCCUUUUCUCUGCCUUGUCAGUAUGUCUGUUUACCUAGGGAAAAGGGAAUUAUUAUGGUCAAAUUACCAAAUCACAGUUUAAGAUGCUGGAAUUCGAUCCCUAGCUCUGUUGCUGAUUUCCUUUGCGCUGUAAUCAAAUAAUUUGAUAUCCUUGUGGAUCGGGUCAGUCUGUCUAAAAGAAUAUUCCUGCCUUUCCCNNNNNNNNNNNNNNNNNNNNNNNNNNNNNNNNNNNNNNNNNNCUAGCAUAGGCUUCUGUGGCAGCUGAAGAGCUGGCCGGCAGCUGGGCGCGUGCCCAAGCACACAGUGCCACCGACGCCUCGGGCGCGCUGCACAUCUGCAAACGUUCACUGUACGCUUCUGGCUGUCAAGUCCGGGACAGGAGCUGAGCCUUGACACUCGGGAAGGCUUAUAAUGGAUGUCUCCUCACUGCUGAGCAAACAAAAGCCUGCAGCCACAUCUGAUUCCUGUACUCAUUUUAAAUUGUGGUUUACCGGAGGAGGAGAUGUCAAGAACUUCAUGGUCUAAAGGAGUAGAAUGCAACAAUGUCUGCCCAACACCGAGGAGCGCGUGCAUGCUUAAACGCAUAUUUAUAGAGCUACGUGUGCAUUUAAAGGCUAUGAAAGAUGACAGCAACAAUUUUUCAGCUAGAAGGACAGUCACUGCUUGCAGUGGAAGACUGGCCUACAUCAAGCCAAAGACUGCAGACAACUGAUACAAACUUUGCUGGUCCCAGUUGAGUCAUUUACUGUCUCUGAACUCCACGUGCCUUUUACAGAAAGUGAGGAUUGCACUGACUUGCAGGCUAGGGCAGUUGUGAUGAGUAAUUAGCUCAUGACUUGGAAGACCUUAAAUGAUGAAAGUGGCACGUCAGGGAUACGAACUAUUAUUACAAAGGAUGGAGAAGUCCAUGCUUGAGCAGCUUCACAGUAGGAUCCCCAUUGCUGUACAAAGGUAGGGUAAGAAGGGCUGCUCUGUUUUCUAGCUUCUUUUCUCUGAGCUUUUCAUGUGGGAUACCAUCUCAUCUAUCAGGUAACAUUUCAUUAUCUUUCACGGUAACGCUUGAGUCGUAUAUCAUAUUUUCUAAUUUCUUUUUUUGCAAGCCUAGCGCAAUAUCAAUAACGUUACCUUUCACAAUACUGCUUUCAGCACUGGCUAUACAGUGCCGCAUCUUUCACAUGUUUUUUGCCGUUUAUCAAAAUGAAACAUGACAGCAGCUGGAAAUGAUGCUCACAUUUAGUACUUAAUGAUACAUCUGCUUCCUAUCAUGCAAAAAUUCUGAUGCUUUGCUAAACAGAUAUUUUGUUUAGCAACAACCUGUGUGCCAAACUGAAGGUUCAUUAGCUUACGCCUAUCAGCAAGUGAAUCCAGUGUAAUGAGGAGUUGAGUCUACAGGCUACAAUGGCUUAGUUAUUCCACUUUAAAAAAUAGAGUUGACAAAUACUGGAGUUAACGCUGUGCAGACUUCUGAGAAAUACCAAUUUUAAAAUGUGAAAUGCCAUCAAGUACUGUUCCUACUUUCUGUUCAAAGGGUAAACAUGGGAGUCUGCCUACGUAGAGGAGCUCAUCCCGGAAGCUGCCGUUAUUGGAAUAGAAAAAAUGUAUGAGAAAAGUAAUAAUAAGCUAUUUUUUCUUUGUCUUCUGGUGUAAUUUAUAAGCCAUUAGAACCCAUUCAAAAUUGCACAGGAUUCCAGGCGAGAGAGCACAGCAAAGAA